AGAGUUUGAUCAUGGCUCAGGACGAACGCUGGCGGCGUGCUUAACACAUGCAAGUCGAACGGUGAAGCCCUUCGGGGUGGAUCAGUGGCGAACGGGUGAGUAACACGUGGGUAACCUGCCCUGAACUCUGGGAUAACUCCGGGAAACCGGGGCUAAUACCGGAUACGACCCCUGACCGCAUGGUCGGGGGUGGAAAGUUGUUUCGGUUCAGGAUGGACCCGCGGCCUAUCAGCUUGUUGGUGGGGUAAUGGCCUACCAAGGCUUUGACGGGUAGCCGGCCUGAGAGGGCGACCGGCCACACUGGGACUGAGACACGGCCCAGACUCCUACGGGAGGCAGCAGUGGGGAAUAUUGCACAAUGGGCGAAAGCCUGAUGCAGCGACGCCGCGUGAGGGAUGACGGCCUUCGGGUUGUAAACCUCUUUCAGCAGGGACGAAGCGCAAGUGACUGUACCUGCAGAAGAAGCACCGGCUAACUACGUGCCAGCAGCCGCGGUAAUACGUAGGGUGCGAGCGUUGUCCGGAUUUAUUGGGCGUAAAGAGCUUGUAGGCGGCUCGUCGCGUCGGGUGUGAAAACUCGCGGCUCAACCGCGAGCCUGCACCCGAUACGGGCGGGCUAGAGUUCGGCAGGGGAGACUGGAAUUCCUGGUGUAGCGGUGGAAUGCGCAGAUAUCAGGAGGAACACCGGUGGCGAAGGCGGGUCUCUGGGCCGAUACUGACGCUGAGAAGCGAAAGCGUGGGGAGCGAACAGGAUUAGAUACCCCCGUAGUCC
RNAcentral lists this ribosomal RNA (771 nucleotides) under uncultured bacterium. RNAcentral describes it as "bacterial SSU rRNA". It matches the Rfam family "Bacterial small subunit ribosomal RNA", at positions 8 to 796 of the family's 1533-position model. The record is from RNAcentral.